RNAcentral lists this transfer RNA (72 nucleotides) under Blastochloris sp. RNAcentral describes it as "tRNA-Thr". It matches the Rfam family "tRNA". From Rfam's summary of the family: Transfer RNA (tRNA) molecules are approximately 80 nucleotides in length. Their secondary structure includes four short double-helical elements and three loops (D, anti-codon, and T loops). Further hydrogen bonds mediate the characteristic L-shaped molecular structure. tRNAs have two regions of fundamental functional importance: the anti-codon, which is responsible for specific mRNA codon recognition, and the 3' end, to which the tRNAs corresponding amino acid is attached (by aminoacyl-tRNA synthetases). tRNAs cope with the degeneracy of the genetic code in two manners: having more than one tRNA (with a specific anti-codon) for a particular amino acid; and 'wobble' base-pairing, i.e. permitting non-standard base-pairing at the 3rd anti-codon position. Lineage: Bacteria; Pseudomonadati; Pseudomonadota; Alphaproteobacteria; Hyphomicrobiales; Blastochloridaceae. The record is from RNAcentral.
GCCGGAGUAGCUCAGUGGUAGAGCAACUGAUUCGUAAUCAGUAGGUCGUGGGUUCAAUCCCCAUCUCCGGCU